RNAcentral lists this ribosomal RNA (286 nucleotides) under uncultured Candidatus Brocadia sp. RNAcentral's name for it is "partial 16S ribosomal RNA". It matches the Rfam family "Bacterial small subunit ribosomal RNA", at positions 386 to 663 of the family's 1533-position model. The record is from RNAcentral. Lineage: Bacteria; Pseudomonadati; Planctomycetota; Candidatus Brocadiia; Candidatus Brocadiales; Candidatus Brocadiaceae.
ACGAAGCGACGCCGCGUGCGGGAAGAAGGCCUUCGGGUUGUAAACCGCUGUCGGGAGUUAAGAAGUGCAGGGAUGUUAAUAGCAUCCUUGCUUGACUAAGGCUCCGGAGGAAGCCACGGCUAACUCUGUGCCAGCAGCCGCGGUAAUACAGAGGCGGCAAGCGUUGUUCGGAAUUAUUGGGCGUAAAGAGCACGUAGGCGGCCGUGUAAGUCGGUUGUGAAAGCCUUCCGCUCAACGGAAGGACGGCAUCCGAUACUGCAUGGCUCGAGUGCGGGAGGGGAGAGUG